This 440-nucleotide ribosomal RNA is filed under the name uncultured bacterium. Its description in RNAcentral is "partial 16S ribosomal RNA". It matches the Rfam family "Bacterial small subunit ribosomal RNA", at positions 338 to 795 of the family's 1533-position model. The record is from RNAcentral.
CCUACGGGAGGCAGCAGUGGGGAAUAUUGCUCAAUGGCGGGAACCCUGAUGCAGCGACGUCGCGUGAGCGAUGAAGUAUCUCUGUAUGGUAAGCUCCAUCAGCAGGGGAGAAAAUGACGGUACCUGUCUAAUAAUCCCCGUCUAACUACGUGCCAGCAGCCGCGGUAAUAUGGAGGGGGCAAGCGUUAUCCGGAUUUACCGGGUGUAAAGGGAGGCUAUAGGGGUGUGCAGGUCUGGAGUGAAAGGGAUGGGCUGAACCUGUGGAGUGCCUUGGAAACUGUGCGGCUUGAGUGUAGGAGAGGCAAGUGGAAUACGUAGUGUAGCGGUGAAAUGCGUAGAUAUUAGGAAGAACACCAGUGGCGAAGGCAGCUUGCUGGACGGUGACUGACGUUGAGGCUCGAAAGCGUGGGGAGCAAACAGGAUUAGAUACCCGAGUAGUC